ACUGUUCCUCGUUAGCAUGAGGCGUUUGCACAAACACAGGCUACUGCCCGGAAACGUCGAAAGACGCCAAUGGGUAGACCAGGUCUUGCCGGAUUAAGGCUUGACUUAAGGUAGCUGGUUCCCAUGGACCUACGUUGUGCACUGCUGAAAACCUACGAGAGGGGAACCAC
Geobacter pickeringii is the source of this 170-nucleotide regulatory RNA element. It matches the Rfam family "M-box riboswitch aptamer (ykoK leader)". From Rfam's summary of the family: M-box riboswitch, also know as ykoK leader is described as a metaloregulatory RNA that sense divalent metals and function as a genetic control element of genes related to divalent metal transport in bacteria. It was first reported upstream of the B.subtilis ykoK gene and genes with related functions in other bacteria. The record is from Rfam. NCBI's taxonomy places the organism in Bacteria, Pseudomonadati, Thermodesulfobacteriota, Desulfuromonadia, Geobacterales, Geobacteraceae.